UAGAACCUCAGGCCACCUGCCUUGCUCCUUCACGAGCAUUCCUAGGGAGAACGGGUAGGGCUGGAGAAUUCUGAGGCUCCACACGUAGCCUGCCAGGGCCCUCCUGCAGGCCUCACCUUGCGGGGAGUACGAAGUUGCUGCAGCCCCUGAGCUUUUCCUCUGCAGAUGGGUCAGCCUCUUUGGGCCUUGCGAUGCUCACGCUUGGUGUUUUCCCUCAGUGUACCUUUGCCUGCUCCCCAUAGUGUCUCCAGGGCCCACUGCUGCUCGCUGCCCUCCCAGCCCCCAGCUGCCCCUGUCCCCUGGAGAUCCUGGUGUUUGGGCUGUGCUAAUGCUGGGUCUUGGCUGAUCUUCCCUUCUGCCCCCCAUCCCCAGGACUCUCUAUAAGAUCCUAGACAGCUGCAAACAGCUGACUCUGGCCCAGGGGGCAGGUGAGGAGGAUCCGAGCGGCAUGGUGACCAUCAUCACAGGCCUUCCACUGGACAACCCCAGCGUGCUUUCAGGCCCCAUGCAGGCAGCCCUGCAGGCCGCUGCCCACGCCAGCGUGGACAUCAAGAAUGUUCUGGACUUCUACAAGCAGUGGAAGGAAAUUGGUUGAUACUGACCCCCAGGCCCUGCAGUGGGGCUGACUCCAGAUCUCUCCUGCCCUCCCUGGCAGCCAGGACCAGCACCUGUAGUCACCCCACCACACGCAGACUCAUGCACGCACACAGGAGGGAGGCCUAGCUGCUCAGAGGCUGCAGGGAGGGCCCAGGAGCCGGCUGGGAGGGUGGGGUCCCUUUGUUGCCAAGACGUUAGGAAAGCCAGGAAAGUGCUUGGAGUAGGAGAGUCUUGUGGGCCCCUGGCCAGCCUUCCUGCCUCAGCUCCCCUGCUGUCUCCAGGGGCAGGUGGCAGGCAUGGGUACCUGCAUUUCACUGGAGUGGGUUCUUGGAUCUCUGAGGGGAAGGAACAGCAGAAGAGGCCCUUCUUCCUCACCCAAGAUGCAGGGUGGUUGGGGCCAGGAGUUUGGAGUCUCCAGGUCUUGGGGGAAGAGCUGGGUAAUACCUGGUGUCUGAGUGAUUCUCUGCAGACCCUUCCCCUCCUCAAGGAUCACCCAUCCUCCUUUCAGCCCCCUUUAUGGGGACCAGGCAACUCUGGAGCCAGCCGCAGGGG
Molecule: small RNA, 1149 nt
Filed under: Pongo abelii (Sumatran orangutan)
Lineage: Eukaryota; Metazoa; Chordata; Mammalia; Primates; Hominidae
Description: retained intron
Source: RNAcentral